This 350-nucleotide transfer-messenger RNA is filed under the name Rhodobacteraceae bacterium HTCC2083. RNAcentral describes it as "Alphaproteobacteria transfer-messenger RNA". It matches the Rfam family "Alphaproteobacteria transfer-messenger RNA". Rfam says of the family: Bacterial tmRNA, also known as 10Sa RNA or SsrA, is named for its dual tRNA and mRNA-like properties. Its role is to liberate the mRNA from a stalled ribosome. Lineage: Bacteria; Pseudomonadati; Pseudomonadota; Alphaproteobacteria; Rhodobacterales; Paracoccaceae. The record is from Rfam by way of RNAcentral. RNAcentral also lists the same sequence under 1 other name.
GCUCUUGGCAAACCUCUAAGCCCUUCCUAUAUAUAUAGUGUUCGCAAGAACUAUGGACAUAAACGCGCUCGCAAUAAGCGGUUCGGACCCGGGGGCGGUACCCGGCGACUCCACCAAUCACCCGUUCAUUUGACGGCGGAGGGGGUCGAAAUAGGAUCGACGAACGUCUAAAGGGGUUAGCUUUGUUUCGGCUGGGUGCCACCGUAUCGGCCCAAAAUGUACAAUUGCAAAUGACAAUCGUGCUCCAGUAGCGAUGGCUGCGUAAGCAGUUUCAGCUUCUGAAACUUAACUCCUUAGGUUUAGCGACUUAAGGCGGGGUUCGCAGGUACCUGGCAACAGAAACCUGCACU